UACGUAGGGUGCGAGCGUUAAUCGGAAUUACUGGGCGUAAAGCGUGCGCAGGUGGUUCGUUAAGUCAGAUGUGAAAGCCCCGGGCUCAACCUGGGAACUGCAUUUGAAACUGGCGGGCUUGAGUGUGGCAGAGGGGGGUGGAAUUCCGCGUGUAGCAGUGAAAUGCGUAGAGAUGCGGAGGAACACCGAUGGCGAAGGCAGCCCCCUGGGCCAACACUGACGCUCAGGCACGAAAGCGUGGGGAGCAAACAGG
This 253-nucleotide ribosomal RNA is filed under the name uncultured bacterium. RNAcentral describes it as "partial 16S ribosomal RNA". It matches the Rfam family "Bacterial small subunit ribosomal RNA", at positions 524 to 776 of the family's 1533-position model. The record is from RNAcentral.